UCGAGGUCGAGUUGCAUGUGACACAGCACCAUUUUUGGUUGAGGAGGACGCCAUUGCUGAGGCCAUCGUGAGCUGUUGAGGAGGAUGCCAUCGUUGUGGCCAUCGUGAGAUGUUGAGGAGGACACCACUUAAGAGGAUGUCUGAUCAAUCAUAGUCCGUUUGCUCUCCAUACCAUCAGGCAUGGCCAAACCAUCAAGCCCCUUGCCUCCAUUUGCCAUUCAAGCAUCAGGUGAUGGCCAGAUUUCAUCUUAGCCAUGAUCGCCUGGCCCUGUGAGGAAGAGAUAGCCCAUUGGGUGGAGAGAGAAAGAGGGGUUCUAAGUUCUAGUUCUGCUGCUGCUGACCACGACGACGGAAAACGAAGAACGAGCUAAAAGGUAAAUUGAAGUUUCUGACGAGUCAUGGCGCUCUCAGGUUGUCUUUAAUCUUCUUUCUAAUUGUGAAAACAAGGACCUGCUUGAUUUCCAUUGAGGAAAACUCCUUUUUUUUUCUUUUCCUCUUCUCAAUUAAUUUGUUAAGUUGUCUUCGUUGUUUGUUUUAGCGUCUUAGCCCCGGCCUCUGAUCCUUUUCUUUUUUCAGCGUCUGCAAAAUUCUUUUCUGUUUCUUUAGUAAUUCUGAUGCCCAGUUCAGUCGGCGAUUGAGUUGUAUGUCCUUAGUUGCAUUCUUGUUCUUGCAGUUAGAAUUUAGGAGUUAAUUUUCAAAUGUAUUUUAUGCUAUUGUUAAUAAUAGAUAAAUAGCAUUUCUUCGGCAAUGGUUACAAUUUCUACAUAUUUUUUGCAAUUUUGAUAUUCUUAAAAUGUUUGUUUAACAUAAUAGUUUGUGUUUGCAUGUUUCUGAUCAAGUGAUUAUCUUUGACUCCAAAUUUUUCCACGGAGUAUAUGGUUUUUGUGACAUCACGGUUACCACCACUUACCAGCAAAUAUGAAUUCUGACCAUAGUUACCAGCAAAUUGGAUAGAUCUAAUAGGCGGUUAGCGAAGUAACCUCCAAUAAUCGUGACUUCACAUUUGUUGAUGCCAUGGACACUUGACUGGCGUCCUCCUAACCUCCAAGGGCAUGGUUGAUGCUGUAAUGCUGGGCUUGUCAGCAAGAGUCAGGGUUAGUCUGACAUGGCUUUUGCUGUGCUUUUUCCUCCUCUACUUUCACUGCUUCUACUGUUUUUGAUUAGCAGUGGUAUUCCUAUUUAGACUGUGAAACAACACAAGGUGUGAACUUUUUUCCCUCAACGAAAAGGGAUUGGAACAAGAUGCUCAACGAGUAUAUUAUAGCAUACUUUUAGGGCUGAAACAGCUCAAAGAAGUUUUUUUUCGGUAAUAUCAUACUGUUUAUAAAGGUACUAUAGCAUGUUUUGACUUGAUUGAAUACUUUUUGAUUGGUGGACUUACCUAGGCUCUAUAUCACAUGCGUGCGGGUAUGGUACGGGUUCGAACACCACAAUUUUGAAAAUUGUGGGUACACGGGUAUGACAAAUUUUAUAUUCUCAAAAAUGAUAAAAUGAAAAAAAAAAAACAUUAAUGGUUUACAUUUAUAUCUCAUAAGAAAGUCUCAAACCGGAUGAUGCCAUCCUUUUCAUGUAAAAUUGAAGCAAUGUCAAUAAAACUGGGUGAUGUCAUGCUUUUCUUUUUCUAAAAGAGUUCUUGUUCUUUCUUCAACUGAUCCAAACUCUCAUUGUGAUAUCUUUACAUACUUGAAUUCCCUGUGCUUGUUUUUUUUAACAGAUGCUCUUUCACUCUUGUAUAUGAUCCAUUAAACUCUUUCUCACAAAAAGAACAAAUAAAAACAACAUUUCCACCACCGAACACUUGAACCUUCCUACUUGCUGAUUAAUUACUCUUUCUUUAGGGUACAUAUUUGUUAUUCAAAUCACCUCUUCUUUUGUUCUGAUUAUUUAUGGCAUCAUUCAUAAUUUUAUAAAGCAUACCGAUUAAUGUCUUAUGAGUGCUAAAUGACAAUAUAUUGUGUUGACAUACAAAGGCACCCGACAGUAUAGUCAAUUGCUUAUCAUUUAUGUUACACUCAUUGCUUCAUACUCAUGUUUAUGAGUAUGCAGUCAGCAUUGCCAUUGGAACUAGUACAGUUGGUGCUCCAAAGCAUUUUAUCAACAAUGGUCUUUGCUCCAAAGCAUUUUCUCGACACUCAGUUAUCCCAUGAUUUUGUGCCGAGAUGCCUCGUAAACCGAAAGCCACAGUUGUCCCUGUUGUGGAAAUAGCCCAUGAAGGAUCUUCAUCUAUUGGUAUGUUUAGUUAUGACUUGACUCUUGUAAAUUAUUACUAAAUGUUGUAUUUCUCAUAUUCGUUUAUGUUGACUUUAUUAACUUGUGUAUUACAUGUACAGAGCAAGGCACUAAAAAAAAAAAAGAAAAAAGAAAAAAAAAACGUGGACCUAAUCGUGUUAUGAAGGUAAUGAAGUUGGGUGAUGGUGAAAAACUUAAGGUUCACCACAGGUACCUUGGUCAACCUAUUGGUAAAGAUGCAAGCAUGUUAUUCAAGUAUAUGGGACUUCUUGUAUGAGAUGGUCGCUUAGCACCUCUUACAUACAAAUUUUGGAAGGACAUGCCAAAGAGCUACAAAAGAGGCAUAAGACAUCGUGUUAAGGAAAAAUUCAAGAUUCAUAAGUCUGGUAAGAGGUGGAUGGUUAAAACUCGUGGAAAGCAAUGGAGAGAAUGAAAGUGCACACUUAAAAGAGAACACUUUGACAUUCAUGAGAGACAUGAAGUUCAACAUAAGGAUUGUGGCCCUAGGGUUGUGCCAAGCCAAUGGGAUGUAUUAGUAGAAUUUGGAACUCUCAUGAAGGAAAGGUAUAAUAAAUGCAUUUGCAUUUAUGCAAUAUAUAUUAUUAACGAGAUGCCAUCUUUUUUUAAAUUGAAGAAACUACGUAAGAAAAGCAAGGAUAGUUGUGCGAAGAAAAAGUAUUCUCAUACCAUGGGCAGCAAAAGUUUGGAUGAGUUCGUAAGAAAUGGUUAUUGACGAAUUUUAUCGAGCUUUACAUUUUAUUUAUUUAUUUAUUUAUUCAUUGUUGUAAUGUAAAGGAAUAAGUUACUUUGUGUUUUUUUAUGUUAGAUGGCAGAGAAAGAAGAUGGAUUAGAGCCAAGUAGAAUUGAAGUUUUUAUGAGAAUACAUACAAGAAAUGGCCAAAUUCAUGGAGAGACUAUCUCAUUCAGAUGGACGAUCACAUGUGACUGAUGAUGAUAUUUUUGCACAAGUUAUUGGAGAAGAGCAACAUGGUCGUGUGCGUACUAAUGGAUUAGGUCGCACUCCUGCAGACUUUUUUGGCUCACAUCCAACCAAGAUUAAAUUAAUAAAGGAAUCUAUGACGGCAAAAAAAGAGGAUUGAGAACUUAUAGGAAAAAAUAGAGAAGCUUCAAAAGAUGAUGAACAACUAGUAGCAGAAAAUCAAUAAUUAAAAGCAAGCAUUGGAUAAAUUUUGACAAUGAUGAGAGGCAAUGGUAGAAGCUUUUUUCAUGCAUCACUGGUGCGUUUUAAUUAAUGACAUUUUGAUAUAUGUUAUAGUUUUUUUAAUGUCAAAUAAAUUAUUUUUCUUUUUAUGUUGCCUUAUGAAUAGGAUGGUAAAUGAAUAAUUUUGAAGCGAAGCUACAUGAUCGGAGAUCUAGAGUAUGUUCAUAUUUAAAUUAAAGAGAGUGAGUGUUACUUACUAAUGAUUUUUUCGUUGAAUUUGCAGGUGCGAUGCUUCUGUUUCUGAUCAUACCUGUUUUUCUUUUCAUGUUACAAAGUUGUUUUGUUCACUGUCUCAUUUGAUGAACCAAAUCACACAAACAUUUUUUAUAGUUUACAAGAAAUAUCCAAUGAUAGAAAAUGUUACUUCUAGAUUUGACAAAUUUCUCAUGCCAAUUUUUCAAUAUGUCAAUGUUAGCAAAUUAAUUUCUUUGUAUUCUUAGAUAGAUGUUCACUGGUCUUUGUGUUCCUGGAUACACUGGUUGUGGAGUCUCAAACUUGUUGCAGGACCGCAGAGAAAAAGGACCAUUGCCUUUUCUGGUCUUUCUUACGUUUUACCCCCGAGUCAACUAAUAGUGGCAUAAUCUGCUUUUGUUAAAGCUUGCAGGUUAAAAUGUGUGGUUUUGAGCAUAGAGUUUGAAGCUAAAUCAAGAUCAAAUGGGGUCCAUUGAAAUUGCAAAUUGACUAACUUGCCGAUAUUUAUGUGCUGGACAGCUGCUUCCAUGCUGAAAUAUGAUGCUAAUCAUGAAGCAUAUGUUCUGCUUGUGAAACAGCAGUUGCAAUUCAAGUGUGAAAAAGCAGAGGUCAUGUUUGUCUAUAAAAAUUUGAGAUCUCGUGAAAAGAAUGAGUGAACUUGUAUGCCAUAAUGGAAAUCUGGCUUCUACCAUUCAUGAAAAGAAUGGUCCUCUUCUGUGGGAAAUGAGAGUUGGAAUUGCAAAGGAGAUAGCAAAGGGAUUGGCUACUUGCAUGAGUACAGCCCCAAGAAGUAUGUUCACAGUGGUCUGAAACCUACAAAUAUACUAGUGGGGAUGAAUAUAGAGCGCUACAUAUCAGAUUUCGUCUUAGGAUGGCUGGCAAAUAUAGCAGGUGGAACACCAAGAAUGCAGUCUGACAGCUUAUCACCUUCCGAGAUUCAAUCAUCGCCAUACAACAAAAUUGGGCUGUCGACGGCGUCGAUGGAUCGAGAUGGGUCAGUGCAUUCUUGAGUCUCUCUCUCUCUCUCUCUCUCUCUGUGGAAUUGAGUUUUUGGGUAUUAGCUUUUUCUAAUUAGUUUGGACUCUUCUGGUUGGUUUCUGUUGUUUAUUGUUUGUGCACAUGUUUGGGGUUUUGUUGAGAAUUUUGUGUAAUCUGAUAAUGGAAGCUUAUUUUGACAUGGUUAAUUAAUUCUUUUGUUU
Nymphaea colorata (pocket water lily) is the source of this 4842-nucleotide long non-coding RNA. RefSeq lists it as uncharacterized. Lineage: Eukaryota; Viridiplantae; Streptophyta; Magnoliopsida; Nymphaeales; Nymphaeaceae. The record is from RefSeq and is a predicted model, not a curated record. The transcript has 9 exons.